CUUCAGAGACUGGGUGGGAAGCAGCAGGCAGAGCAGUUGGAAAGUGUGCUUCUUACCUUGGUUUAAAAGCAGGAGCUUUUAAAACCACGAAUGGCUUCUAUGAGUGCAUCCAGCCUGAAAAAUAUUGUGUAAGUAAUUAGGAUGCUAGUGCUUCUGUCCCACUUUCUAAUGUUCCUUUUGCACGACAGUACCUGUUGUAUAGGGACACGGGUAGCGCUGUGGGUAAAACCUCAGCGCCUAGGGCUUGCCGAUCGCAUGGUCGGCGGUUCGAAUCCCUGCAGCGGGGUGAGCUCCCGUCGUUCGGUCCCAGCUCCUGCCCACCUAGCAGUUUGAAAGCACCCUUAAGUGCAAGUAGAUAAAUAGGUACCGCUUUAUAGCGGGAAGGUAAACGGCGUUUCUGUGUGCUGCUCUGGUGCCGGUUCGCCGGAGCAGCUUCGUCACGCUGGCCAUGUGACCCGGAAGUGUCUGCGGACAGCGCUGGCUCCUGGCCUCUAGAGUGAGAUGAGCGCACAACCCUAGAGUCUGUCAAGACUGGCCCGUACGGGCAGGGUUACCUUUACCUUUACCUGUUGUAUUAUGGAACGGUGACUUUUUUACCAACAUACCGGCAUGCCAUGCUAAAGCAUGGCAUGCCGGUAUGUUGGUAAAAAAGUCACCAUUCACACCAGUGGGCAUGGUGUGACACAGCAGUGAACAUCAUCUCUACUCCCCCACUUUUCCCACACAUGUGUGGUUCUAUUCCACUGUGUUUUAAGAUAAGAUCCAAAGGGCAAAACAAUACACUGGCACAGAAUAAAUGAAGGUAAAAGGUAAAGGGACCCCUGACCAUUAGGUCCAGUCACGGACAACUCUGAGGUUGUGGUGCUCAUCUCGCUUUAUUGGCCGAGGGAGCCAACAUACAGCUUCCGGGUCAUGUGGCCAGCAUGACUGAGCCGCUUCUGGCAAACCAGAGCAGCGCACAGAAAAGCCGUUAACCUUCCUGUUGGAGCGGUACCUAUUUAUCUACUUCCACUUUGAUGUGCUUUCGAACUGCUAGGUUGGCAGGAGCAGGGACCGAGCAAUGGGAGCUCACCCCGUCGCGGGGAUUCGAACUGCCGACCUUCUGAUCAGCAAGCCCUAGGCUCUGUGGUUUAGACCACAGCGCCACCCGCGUCCCUGUGAAGGUAGCAAUGCUGUUGAUGUUGUUUUUAACAGACCUGUUCCUUGAAAAACACAUGAUAAACUUCUGAGUGCCAGACUUCUAUUCAAGGUACAGGAGCAGGGGCAAUGAAAAAAAAUGUCAGCCCUAGGUGAAAUAAUCUAUAUUCCAGUUUCUGGUCCAGACUUCCCAUUGCUCUGGAAUUUUUUUUUUAAAGGUUCUUAAAAUCUAUCACCCUUUAUCAGUUUAAAUGGGGGGGGGAUUAGAGCCAGUUUGUUUGUUCAACUAUGAGGGCUUGUCCACACCAGUGUUUGCCCCACUGCUUUUCCCCAGGAAAACCUUUGGCUUACUGCGGAUCUGGACCAAACAGCAAUCAGGUUUUCCAUGGUAAGGAGUGGGUUUUCCAGGGGAAAGCUGUGGGGCAAAUGCAAAACCGCUUAAAUCCAUGCCUAGAAAGCACGAGGAAAGUUGGAAACCAGCCAGACCCAUGCUUUCUAGGCACGGGACAAAUGGGCGAGCCCUGACUGUCUCUUUCAAUGACUGAGGAAAUGAUGCCUCUCUCUGUCAGUAAGGGCCAUCAAACUCGUAUGACAAUUGAUACCUGGGUGUGGAGCACCUUUCACACACUUGUGCAAAACCAGUUAAAAGUGCAUAGUUAAAGCUAAAUGGGACUAAACAGAGUGAACGUUACUUUUCCUGGAGGGUUCUCUGAAAGCACGGGAGAAGAUGUUUUGAUAUGAAUGACAAGUUAUUUAAUACAUAGCAGUUUUGGCCAUUACAUUCUCCAAGUGCCCAGGGUUUUAAAGUAAUCCUCCAGGCAGCAGCUUUUGCCUUUGUUAGGCUUCAGGUCUGUGGUGAAAACUCCGUAUGAGAAAACUCACUGGAAGACUUUAAACUCUAUCAGACCUGGCUUGAUUGCAAUCACCUCUCCGAGGCUUCCCAGUCAUUCACCAAGCCAAUUAGUGUAGGCCUCGGUAGAUCUCCCCCAGCUGUGAGCUGAGUGAGGGAGCAGGACUCCAUUUUGUGCUCUGACACACCACCUGAGUCCCACAACCAGCUAAUAGAAGUCUUCCAAGGGCAAACGCAUCACAAUGCCAUUCCAUUCACUCCGCAAUUCUCCUUUUCUUUCCGCCUUUCCCCCUCCCCGAAGAGAACUGAUCUGCAGGCAGAAAAACCCAUUUACUCAAAAAUAAGAGUAAAAUGUUUUUUCUCCUUUCGAUAAUGUUCCCGGUUCUUUCAGUAGGUAUUAUGCUCCGUAAUGUGCUGCGCACACCCAUUUUGUCAUCGCUUUGGGUCAUCCUUGCUCACAAUUGGUUAUUUACUCAGGGGCUUUUGAAAUUAUUGAGUUGACACAUCUGUCAGACGGCAAAAGCAGAAAUGCUAAAAGGUCACUUGGAGAGAAACCAGCUGCUUCAGACAAACCUUUCUGUCUUCAAAUAGCACAGUCAUUACUGCUUGGCAGAUGGGGCCCCGGCUUUCAUUUCUGUUUUUUCUCCUUCACUUCAGGUAUUUAGAUAUAUACUACCUCAUUGCCAGGUAAGCGUAGGCCUUGUAAUUACCUACACAAUAGGCAACUCGCUGCUUAAGGAAAACAGCUCCAUUUCCCUCCAAACAGAGAGCCUGUUUCCUCCACAGAUACAAACUACAGAACAGCUCACCACAAACUUUCCAAUUAACAGAUUAAUUUUGACAGGAAUAAGUAUAUUUUUAUUACUCCUGCUUUCAUCAUGAUGCCAUGAGACUGGCAUUAAGUGCUGAGUAUAAUGCUCUGAAGCACCUACAGAGACUUUCAGCAGCUAUGGGAUAUGGCUGACCAAAUAAUUCUUAAUCACAAAUAGAUCUGAAAAGUUUGGCCUCCCUUCUGGGUAGACAAAUAUUCAUGAACAGGUUAUUCAAGCACUACAUUAAAGCUGGUUGUGAUAGAGUAUUUUGCACUGGCUGCAUAUGGCAAGAUGGAAGAAUUUAGAGAGGGGUUGCUUAUGAGGCCACAAUCAGAAGGCAGUCUUGGAAAUAAGUGAACAAAGCACAGCCAUGUUGCCUCUACAGUCAUGGAGCCUCGACUCUGGAGUGACAAUUCUAAAUCUGGAGUUUAGAAGAUUCAAGGAACAGAAUUAGAAUGAGUUGGGCAAAUUAUAAUUAUCUGUACAAUCUACCUUUAAAUACUUUCUAGUGAAUUGUUUAUUUAUCACAUAUCUCACCCUUCUCUCAAAGAGCUCCAAUGGCCAAGGUGGAGGUUAUCCAAUUAGUGUUACAAUAUUCUAUCAAUGUAGGGCUUAUCCAAUUAGCAUUAUUCUAUGUUGUAUAUUGUGUAUAUAUAUUCAUGACUGGUAGGUGGCAAACUUUGUCUUUAACAGCUGCACUGCAGGGGCUCCUGUGUCUUUAACAGCUGCAUUGCAAGUAGAGUGCAACAGAUGAAGUUUUUCUCAUCUCUUUAUUUAAUGUUCACUCAGUGGGGUAAGUGUAAGUGUGUAACAGGAUGCACUGUGUAAGAAAGACACAAAUUAAAUCAUUGCUAAACUUUUAGUUUUAUCCAUAUUUGUUUUGAAUUUAGAUGGUAAAUAACAGGUGGGGUACAACAUGCUGCCCUUCUAAUCCUAAUCUCGGCUUCUGGUAUUUACCAUUUUAAAAACAGUUGUAUAAUGUGAUUGUUGGAAACCCAGUUGUGCAAGAGCUUCAUGUGGGCAGCAGAGCAGGUAUGGCGCUCCAAUGCCAUAAACCUUUCACCUCUGUGUCUAUCGUUCUUCUUGAUACUCAGUAAAGAAUUCUGACUCUGAAAGCUUACGUAGAACCAAGCAGUUCUCUGUGCUCUUGUCAACACACAGCCUUCCAAAGCGCAUAAACCAGCUGAAUCAGACUCUUGAGGCUUAUACAGGACACAAAGAAGAAACAACGUAUAAAUCUGAUUGUACCCCAAUCCCAAAUUGGAGUGAUGCAGAAAGCUUCUUGACAAAAGCUACAAGAGGCAGUGCAUGCAGACUGUGAGAGUCACUUCACCCGGACAAUUAUUAAUAAUCUUUUCAACCAAAAGCUACAGCUCACUUUCUUUUGUUUUUCCAACAAAAGCUGUGCUGCUCUGAGUUGAAAAGGACAAGUGACUAUAAAAAUGUAAGCAGGCAACCCCCAGCUGAGAAAUUUGAAAAAGGGGCCAUUAGGUCCAAAAAAAAAAAAGGCAUCUAUUUGUGUUCCUCUUCUAGAUGUCUAUGUAGGGGAUGGGUGAACUGCUUUGCCUCCCUGAACAAAAGUAUAUUAUGACAUUACAACCCAUCUGUUUUUCACCAGCACAGAGGUUUCUUAUCCCUCAAUGCCUUCUGACACUGGCUUUUAAAAAGCAUGGUGAUAACACGGAUACUCGGUCAGUGUUGACUGCCAUCAGCAUUUCGUUUGAAUUGCUGGGGCUGAAAACAGUCUAAAGAGGCAUAUUAACAAAAUGAGAGUACAGGGAGCAGAGUUUUGUUAUAGCCUCAGCUCUUAUCAAAUUGGGUACUGGUAUUCAGGAGUCUUCACACUGAUGUAUACUUUGAAGUACCUGCAUAGAGGUGUCCUCAGAUAAUCAUCUUUGGGGAUUUUCGGGUGCUGAUGCAGCACUGGAACUGGCACGUUCUGCUAUGUGCUUAUAUCUACACUCGUGUAAUGAAUGUUAAGUUGUUCUUCUGUAAAUGAACAAUUAUUAUGGUAGCUUAAAUCUCCAGUGAUCUUUCCUCCAGAUGGAUCUGUAGUCUGUAAAUGUCUGCCUUGCCACUCGGGGAAGUAAGAAUGUGAAAAUGAUAUAUUCCUCUUGAACAAAGAACAUAUACAAGACUCAUUAUUUACAUGGGAGAUUCACCCUCAAGUAUGUUUUAUAGUUCAGUGAGUUUAUGUUAUAAGCAUUCCAACAUAUGUGUGAGUAUGAAGUUCAUGCUACUUUGGGAAGGUUUACUAAGGAGGCUCCUACCACAGCUACCACUCAUUUCACAGCUGUUUAGUUCCAGUGGCAUACCCUGUGUUGUACAGAAAGUAAGUGCCUUUGCCCCUGUUCAGAUGGAUUCCAGGCAGGAAUGGAAACGAGGCCCAAAAAUGGCACAGGAGUGCUGUGAACAGAAAGCAAUUAUUGUGACAUGUAAUCCUCAUCAAGCCAGAAUCUCCCAAAAACAACCUUCAAGUGGAUUCACCUUUCUCAAAUAUUUGAAACAGACCUGCGUUUUCCCUACUUACUGCUUUCAUCAUUAUGUCUGCGAUUUGUCAACUGCAUACUUAUAGCUCCCACACCCAAGUGCUGGUUUUAAUUUUUAAAGCAGGGAUGGGGAAACUAUGAACAUCUGGAUGUUAGUGGAUUCCAAUUCCCAUCAGCCUAGCCAUAAAGGUUUCUCCCAUAUGUAUGUACCCAAACUAUGAAAUCCUCUUUAAUGGUCCCACCAUAUGAGGUGUGUAGGCACUAGAGCGAGUGCCUUUUCAGUAGUGGCACCCCAGUUAUGGAAUCCCCUUCCCAGUGAUGUUCACCUGGCACCAUCUUGGUGGUCUUUUUAUGACAGGUGAAGACAAUUCUAUUCAUCCAGAUCAUUUAUUUAUUUAUGCAUUUAUUACUUUGUGAACCAAUGAAAUCACUAGUGUUACAGGGCUUCUAUAGAAAUGUGGUUAUUACGUUAGAAAGGAAGGAAGGAAGGAAGGAAGGAAGGAAGGAAGGAAGGAAGGAAGGAAGGAAGAUUGGGUUUUGUUUGUUGGGUAUUCAGAUAGUUGGGAAUGGAAAAGAAGCAAUAGCUAUUGCAGUGAAGGCCAUCCUUUGUGAAUCAUGGCACAAUCAUUCUCACACAGUAAAGACAGACCACACCCCAUUCCCCAAAGACCCUUGACAUGUCUAUUAGCUUUUCCUUUAGGUUUGCAUACCUCUCUUGCCUUUGAGUUGGCAAACGUGUGGAUUGCAACCUGCCUUCCUCAGGGAGCCAAAGUUCCAUCUAGCCCAGAAUUCGGGUCUCAUAGUGUCCAACUCAUGGGAAGCUUGUCAGUCGGACAUGAGAGUAACCGCACUCUGCCCACUUGUGCUCCCUAGCAAUUGGUAUUCCAAGGUUUAUCACCUCUGAUGCUGGAGGUAGUGCAUGGUAGCUGGUAGCCAUUCACAGCCUUGUCCUCUAUGAAUUUGUCUAAGCCCCUUAUAGCUGGAGUAAUGCAUAUUACUCUGCCUUGGGGUACUGGUGAAGUAAAACAUAUUGUCACUUAAAAGGGAGUAGGUAAAACCAUUCUGCCCAGGGUCUAACUGCACUACUGUCAGAAACCCAGAUUUGGCCCUGGGAUCUUCAGUUCCCAGCCCAUACAGUGAAGUAAACGCUCUUGCCUCUGGUGCAAUAUCUCAGCAGUGUUGCCAAAGAGGGAAUAAUCUGUUUACCUGGCACAUGUCCUGAUUGCAAGCCAAGAAGCCUCACUUUGGCAUAUUCCUUCAUUAGGUACACAUUUUUGUUUACAGUUUUCGGCAACAGUUGUAACAUUUUGGUUCCCUCCUUGUAAACCUUUUUUUGGUGUGUGUUUUUGGAUGCAUAAAUAUAAUAGUAAAUACUGUACUUGAAGAAAGCUGUAGUCUGAAAAAUGGGCAGAUGUUCCCUGCUGGGUAAUGAGAAACAUCUUUCUCCAGUUUUCCUGACAGACGUAAAUGAAAACGAACACACAGCCACACAUACAUUACAUUGCACUUGUCUCAGAAACAUAAUAAAACCUGGAGCUUCUUCCAAGAAGUAAACAAGCAAAGGCAGGUGAGCAUCAGAUGUGUUUUGAAUGUUCUAGAAAGAUACGCUGAAAUGUCACCAUUAAUUCUAUAACACCAAAUAGUAUCCAGAAUCAAUUGUACAAAUUGGGGAGAGUUUCAUCAUUUUGAUUUGCACAUCUUGCUUUAAGAAUAGGGAACAUUCUGAUGCAGUGCUUGGGUUGAGGAUACAUAUAAACUUGCACUACAGUUCUGUAUUUGCCUACUUAAUGGGACUCAUUCCUAGGUAACUGUAUAGGAUUGCAGCCUAACUCUUAUUGCUUUCUUGUAAGCAGUGUUUUUUUAUGGAGGGACGCAAGGGUACGCAUUCCCCUAAACAUUUUGUGAAUCUAAGUUUGGCCUCAUUGAGGGGCAGUAUUUCAAUAUGAGUAGGAAAAUGAGAGAAAAAGAACAGCUUGUAAGCAUUAAGGAAUUAUUCACAUUUGCCACAAAAGUAUAAAACCCAUGCCUUUGCCAUGGCAAGAUUCCAUGCUGCUAAAACAUGCCAAUGAAUAAAGGUAAAGGGACCACUGACAAUGAAGUCCAGUCGCGAACGACUCUGGGGUUGCGACGCUUAUCUCACUUUACAGGCCGAGGGAGCUGGCGUUUGUCCACUUCUGCAGACAGUUUUUCCGGGUCAUGUGGCCAGCAUGUGCUUUCGAACUGCUAGGUGGGCAAGAGCUGGGACCGAACGACGGGAGCUCACCCUGUCAAGGGGCCUUGAACCACCAACCUUUUGAUCAGCAAGUCCAAGUGGCACAGUGGUUUCAACCACAGCGCCACCUGUGUCCCUUGCCAAUGAAUACUGGGGCCCUAUAAGACUUUCCCACCUGAUUAAGGAAGAUGUGAGGUGGCAAAUACUCAUAUGCUGGCUUCCUCCUAGCACAGAAUGCCAGUGAAUACUUUCUUCUGGGGAGCAAAAAUGGAGCAGAGCUAUUGCCUGCUGCUCUUUUGGGGGGGGGGACUACCAGAAGUACCUGGUCGGCCACUAUAGGAAACAACAAGAAUAAGGCAGUGAAUAAUCCAUAAUAAACAUACCCAGGCAUUACUUUAAUAGCAUGUCUACACUGCAGCAUCCCAGCCGUGUUCAGAGGCAGUGCUCAUUUCUUGGUUUGUUUACUUGUUAGAUUUAUAUUCCACCUUUGCUCCAGUUAACUCAAGCUGGUGUGUGUGGCCUCCCAUUCCCACCACGUUAUCCUCACAAAAACUCUGAGAGGUUUAGAGUUGGUUACCAGCCCAAGGUCACCCAGAGAGAUUCAUGGCCAAGUGGGAAGUCCCAGUCCUAGUACAACACUGUAACUGCCAUACUACUGGAUUAGGGCUGGACGCGGGUGGCGCUGUGGUCUAAACCACUGAGCUCCUGUUGCUCUGUCCCAGCUCCUGCCAACCUAGCAGUUCGAAAGCCCACCAGUGCAAGUAGAUAAAUAGGUACCGCUUUGGUGGGAAGGUAAACGGUGCUUCCGUGCGCCUGGUUUCCGUCAUGGUGUCCCGUCUGCCAGAAGCAGUUUAGUCAUGCUGGCCACAUGACCCGGAAAGCUGUGAUUAAUAAUAAUAAUAAUAAUUUAUUAUUUAUACCCCGCCCAUCUGACUGGGUUUCCCCAGCCACUCUGGGCGGCUUCCGACAGAAUAUUAAAAUACAAUAGUCUAUUAAACAUUAAAAGCUUCCCUAAACAGGGCUGCCUUCAGAUGUCUUCUAAAAGUCUGGUAGUUGUUUUCUCUUUGACAUCUGAUGGGAGGGCGUUCCACAAGGCGGGUGCCACUACCGAGAAGGCCCUCUGCCUGGUUCUCUGUAACUUGGCUUCUCACAGCGAGGGAACCGCCAGAAGGCCCUCGGCACUGGACCUCAGUGUCUGAGCAGAACGAUGGUGGUGGAGACACUCCUUCAGGUAUACUGGACAAACACUGGCUCCCUUGGCCUGAAAGCGAGAUGAGCGCCGCAACCCCAGCCUUUGACUGGACUUUGUCCAGGGAUCCUUUACCUUUACCGCUGAACUAGUUACUGAAGACAACACUGGGUAGGGUUUGCCAUAUUUCAAAAACUGAAAAUCCGGACACAAAAAUUGAGCUUUUUCAUGUAAAGUUGUUGAGCUACCCCCCUCCCCCACCCCAAAUUCUGCCCGGAUGCUAUUUCCAGUGGACGAAUCACAGAUAUGUCUGGGAAAACCUGGACAUAUAGCAGCCCUAACAUUGGGAGACUCAUGUCCUGCUUGUGGGCUUGCCAUAGGCAUCUGGUUUACCACUGUGGAAAACAGGAUGAGAUGGGCCUUUGGUCUGAUUCAGCAGGCCGCUUCUAAUGUCCUUAUGUUGGAUGUUGCAGGUACAACCAGAAAUAGUGCCCCUAAGAAAAGGUAUUUCCCUUUUCUCCAGGGUCAAUACACCAACCUACCCUCCUCACAGAUAUAUUAAAAGUGGAAAGCCAGUACUGAAGGCUGGGCAGCCUGGUCUAGUUCUUGCAAUUGCUCCCAUCAGCAAAGUGUAGCCAACUGAUGCAUGUGGACUUUGAGGAGACAGCGUAUCAGAGCCCCGAAGGAAGCAUUGUGCAGAUGUGCAGAUAUGCACUAAAUCCUACAUAGCUGCAACAUUGUGAUGCAAUGGCUGGAAUGAUUCUCAGCACAUGGUUCAGAGCUAGUUUUUGUUGACUCUCUAAGAGAAAACUAAUGAGUUUCUUAGAAGAGCUUUGGGGCUUCCUGUGAUUUAAAACUGGCAGUAAAAGAAAAAAAAGACAGAGAAGGUAGUUGGUUAAUUGACCUUUAUUGUGCCUUCUGGUUCAUUUAGAAAUGGAAAUUAAAUUAACAUGAUAAUUCAGUCCUACUGAGUUAAGGCUGCUAUAAACCCAUUAAAUUUUAUGGCAAUUGAUUUAGCAUUUUUUUCUAUUAACUGGGUUUAAUUUUCAAUAUUGUCAUGCAGAUUCGGAGAAGUGGUUCAUUCACUUGGGUUCCUUCAAGUUACCAAUCGUAGCUGUUUUAUGAGGGUAACUUAAUUAUGGAAGAGCACAGGCCCUUGCCAUCAAGAGCAUGUAUUAAUCUUGAAAAUGAGUCUGUGCAAAGAGCAUGGAAAAACGAGGGAAUCCAGAAUAUUGUGUGUUAAAUGCCAUGGGAAAGCUCCUUUCACCUAUCACCAGUGACCCCCUUCCCCUGAAAUUCUCCAAUAGCCAAAGAUAUGUUUAAGAUUCACCUGCCAUUCACCAUAAUACAAACUCUUUAUAAACCCCACAUUUUGCAGUAACUUGUUUUUUAAUUUCAUUUCUAAACCCAGUAUCUCUAGAUCUUAGGCAACCUCAGGCUUGAUUCUGUUCUGCUCACGCCCGUUUUAUUGUGGCCGGUUUGUAUUUUCCUUCUGCUAGGACUAAUUUUGCUAUUUCAUUAGCAUUGCAGAAGAUGAUAAUAACUAUAUUUUAUCUUAUGCAAUGACCAAACUUCACUAAUCAACCAGGAUCCCACAAGGAAGUGAUCACAAAACAAGGGUACAGAUUAGAGUUGUAAUGGUAAAUUAAAUUUUGAAGGGAAGGAGUUCAUUGUGGCAAUUCUCAUAGCCACACCUGCAAGGACAGUCCAAAAAAUGCAAGCGGUUGUGUCAAUCUAUUAUUAUAUGUAGACACAAUCCACAGAGCAGCAGUACAUAGAUGAAUGCCCAAUGUAUUAGAAACAACAUGAUCGGAAUCCUAUAUUGUACAUAAUUUCCUGGGAUGCACCUCCAUUGAACUUUAUUGAACGCAGUGAUAAUUCUAGCUGCCUAGGUUCAGCAUGUAAAACAUACUGGAUCACACUGCAUGGGCGGGGAGUAUUUUAUAGUUGGAGUUUUUAAAUUUAUUUUAUUUAUUUUUAAAAUUAUUUUAUUUGUCCCUUUCUCUCUUCAGCCCCAGCCACGUCACAAACCUAAAGCACAUUUAUAACAUUUUGUCAUUAGGGAUGGAGAGAAAAAAUCUGAUCUCACCUAAUUCACACUUUCUGAAACUAUAUGUGAACCAAAACACAGCCAUCCUUCAAAAUUCACAAAUCUCAGAACUUUGCAAUGCAGUUCUCCAGCCAAGUAGUGUGUACAAAAAUCCCUGUGAUAGUGUAAAGUCUGCACAUAAAUGCAAAUAACAGUGAAAAUAGCAUAUAAAAAUGUGUCAAAUUGGGGGGAUUGCUUGCAAAAAUGUGUAUGUUAGUCAAAACUGCAUACAUACAAAACAUUUAUUCGCCCUAAAAUGCUGGUGAAUUGUUUUAACUAAAAUUCACAAAUUGCCGCAGAAAUGUGAACUGAGUUGAAGAUUGUAGUUUACCCCUCCCAGAGCUACAAUUCCUAGCACCCUGCAGAAACUACAAUUCCCAGGGUGCUUUGGAGGAAGCCAUGUGCUUUCAAUGCAUGCUGUGGAUGCGACCAAUACAUUGAAAGCUCACUAUAAGGCAGUUAUAUAAGUUCUUCUGUGCCAGUUUCGUAUCAGUUCAUCCGCAUAAAACUGAUACUGUAACCACCUUCUUAUGAGCUCUGCUGUCUGAAUGAAAAGCAAAACCCCCCAUGAUCGCCAUUUUACCUCAUCAACAAAUCUGUGAACUCCUCUGAAAAUAUAUUUUCCUCCUAUUUAAUAUCUGUGCUUAUAAAUUUCUGCAAUAUUGAUCUAUCCUGUGUUGUUUGUUUCUGUAAUUGUGUGUGUAUAUAUAUAUAUAUAUAUAUGAAAGAAAUAGCAACAUUGCUAUGCGGUUUGGUGCCUUAAGGGCGCACACUGAAUGCCUGAACAAAAUGACAGUAAUAACAAUCAGCAUUUCAAUGCAAGAUUGAAUUCAACUCUCUGACUCAAAUUCAGAUACAGUUUCGAGCAGAUAUUCCCCAGGGAGUUCUGAAUGCUAGGUUGGGUUAGAGCAAGUAUUUCUCGGGAUGCUGUUUGUAAUUCGUACUGUUUUGAGAUGUAUUAUUUCCGUGUAGUCCUUUUCUUUUGCAUCUACUCACUCAUGGAGAGACUACAAGGGUGUGAAUCCUGGCUGAAUGGUGAACAUCAAAUGUAAAGUAUAAUUAAGACAGACAGAUGCUUACUGCCCGUGACUAUGUGGAGCAAUUCUGUUCCUCACUCUUUCCCCGCCAAUGAUGAUUUGCAAAAGAGCCUUGUUCCAUAUUUAAACAUUGUUAGUGUAUUGGGAGCGCUUUGGGUAAGCCUGGAGUUAUUCAGGAAGCAAUUUUAGAGCAGUUGUUGUUUUUUAUUAGCUGGUAGGCACUGGAAUUUGUGUCAACAUCCUAUUCCCCUGAAUUCUUACAUGACUGAAGCUGACAUAUUUUCCAUAGCCAUAAAUAUUGCAGAAGCUGCUCUUGUGUGCAGGUAAGCAUUUUACUGUGAGGAAUUAAUGGCAAACAGCUUUUCUUUAUUUGAUCAAAGGGGAAGUUAUACAAAAUAGAAUACCCAGAUCAUAAAUUCUUCACUGAUGUGUGUAUAUGAGUAAAUUUCUCUCUCUAAAAAAAAUAAAAAUAAAUUCAUUAUAAACUCUUUUGAUGAAACCGAAAGAUCCAGAAAUAUUUAGGCACAUUUCUUUUCCGUCUGGCUGUGGACUUUUUAUUAUCUGUGAUCUCUUGGGUGGGUGGGAUGUUUUAACCCUGCCAUUUAAAUAUAUAUUUGACUUUUAGAUUUUUAUUUGUUUUGUUUUAUGGCUGGCCCAAGACAGACAGAUGCCAACAACGAAAUGUAUAUGGGUUUGUUCAUUGUUGUAAGUCACUUUGAAUUACUUUUGAAAAAUAAAGCAACUAAUUAAUUUAAUAACUAACUAACUAACAGAGAGGGUGGUAAACAUUGAAAUAUUUAUCAGUUCUAAUAAUCAAUGGAGUAGGGGGGAAAGUAUUUUUAAACAGUAUUUAAUCUGUUGUUUUAAGUCAAGCUGUACUGCUAGUCAGUGUUCCUUAGAUUCGAUGGGACUUGGUCAAGGGUAGUUAGCUGUUCUCAAGGAAAUGGAUGCAAGUCAUGUUCACCUACCAAAAUCAGGGCUGAAGUCAGUCUUGGUAAAGCGGUGUGUAUCACACACAAUAAAGCUUGGAUUUCACUGCCCUGUCCAUUUCAGAUACACAGUCAUGAACCUAUCACUACCAGCCUGCUUGCUUUUGAACAUGUGAAGCUAAGUGGCAGGACAGCCACAAGAAGCUGCCAUAUUACCAAAUUAGACCAUUUGUCCUUCUAGUAAAGCAUACCCUCCAACAGUCCUCAGAUAGGGACAUUUCUCACUCUCCCACCAACUGACCCUUCUGGACACCCCGUUUUUUUGUCGUUCCCCCACAGAGCAUUUCCUAUCAGAGGAAGGGCGAGUGCCACCACCAUCACCAUGACACCAAAUGGACACACUAAGAAGUCCCAAAUUCUGCACCCUUUUCCUCAGAGGGGUGUUGCUCACUAGCUGCCAGGCACCCAUCUAGAAACUAUUGAAGACAUUUUCGUUUCAACAAGCUUUUCCAGCUGGGUGGUAAGGAAUCCAUUUUGAAUUGUUUUUAAUCCUAUCUUCUGAAGGGGUUCAGGUUCUGUUUUUAACUGGUUCAGCUGGUUGUUGGGGUGUGUUUGCCAAUCGCCUUGAGACACAUAUUAGAAGAUGACUAAUAAAUUAACAAAUGAAUCAUUCACAUGGUCCCGUAUGAGAAGGGAAUUCUCUUCAUAUGCAUGGUUUCUGCUGUGGACACUGGAAGCUCCCCUCUCAUGAAAGGGAAUGGCUCAUCUUAGCAUGAAGGAAUGCACAUGUUCACUAUCAAAGCCAUGACCUUUGCCUCAGUCAGUGACUAAGGAAUGUAUUAUUACAUUCAGAAAGUAUCUGAAGUGUAGGUAGGUUCCUACGAGGCAAGACAGAGUGAUAAGAGCAAGAACCUUUAUUGAACUAACGGAACUGGACAGCAGGGGCAAAAUAACUGCUUAUAUACAUUUCUGAAGGCCUGGGCCACUGUCACUCCCAACAUGAUUGGCUUUCUAAACUUAUAAGCUACGAAUCCUGACUCAGAGUUUAAGGGCCAAUGGCAGAGGCCCAAAUCCUGAAAUGUUUUGUGAUUGGAUAUCAUGUAUCAAAUCAGAGCACAGGGGCUCAGACCCCUUAGUCCAGACUCAAGAUCAGGCAAACACAGACCACUGAAUACGUAACAGUACCAUAAUGGGAUUCUGUACUAUAAUUAAAACUGUGACACUUGUUUUAAUGGAUAUGGCUGAUGAAGUGCACUGCCCAUGUGUAUUCUUUAAGAAAUAUUGUAUUAACUGCAUUUUUAAAUAUGUUGUUGAGAGUUUCCUUGGUUUUGUCGGAGAAAGGCAGGUUUAAAAUCAAGAAAGAAACUGCUCCCCUUUUUACUAUCCUAAUUUUUCUCAUUUAACUCCUUCCCUCCCGGUGGAACACAGUCUGGCUACAACCAAAACAUGCAUUUAAGGCAUGUGGGGAAACCACAGACGGGGUUGAUCUAGCCCAGCUAAUAUUGUCCAUUUUGGCAGAGGCUCUCCACAGUCUUAGGCAGUCUGUCACAUCACCUGCUUACCUGAACCUUUUAACUGAAGAUCCUGGGGACUGAGACUGGGAUUGUCUGCCACUGAAACAUGAUUGCAAGAGGUUCAUUUAGCAUUUACAUAUCAAUAGACCCUGAUGAUAUGCUUUCCUUUCCUUUCUGUAGGCAGUGAGGUUUUGACACCAUGUCUCUGAAUACUGGGGAAUGCUGGGAAUCACAAUUAGGAGAACACUAUUAACCUCAUGUUAAUUCUUCCUUGUGGGGUUCCCGUAAGCAUCUGGUUGGCCAUUGUGAGAACAGAAUGCUAAACUCAAUGGACCUUUGUUGGUCUGAUCCAUCCUAACUUUUCUUAUGUCCUUAUGACUUGUGGAAAUGUCCACAACAUUUGCAGGGAGGAUGUUUAUCAGAAUUGCAGCAUUUGAGAAGGGACAUUUUGACCCUUCGUUUCUCCACUGCGAUUUCCACAAAAAUACCCAACCACGCCAUUCUGUUUGGGUCCCAUGGGGUAAGGUGGAACAUCAGCACAAAGAAGAGCUUCUAGUGAACAACUCGCUGUGCCUUUUAUUGCUGCACAUCCAGAACCUCUUUCAGACCCCUUCCACUUCUUGAAAAGUGGAAGGCCUUAAAGGGGCAGGCCUCUGGUUUACAGCACAGCGCUCCAUUGUCUCUCUAGCUAUGCUGCCUGCACCGAUACUCUGCUCUGUGGCGUGUGAGAGCUUUGGAGGCAACUAUGUGGGUCCCUUGCUGGGCUUGGGAGCUACAGUUUCUAACCCAGGCUGUGGAAUCUUCAGCUCAGAAGUCUAUGUCAUCUCCAGAGGUUUCUGGCAUCUUGAGAUCAGGGGUCUUUUUUCAGUGGUGGUGCUUGGGCCAUGAGCUUCCUCCAUAGGCACCAUUCAGCCUUUGAGUCUGUAUCCAGGUCACUGCUAAACUUCAGGUAUGUUACACUCUCCCUGCUAACAGAUGCUUUCACUGCCUAAACUGAAUUGUAAUAUUCCAUUAUGGUUGCAGUGAGGAAGGAAAGGAUUAAAUCUUCUCUCUCUGCAUGCUGCAAAUCCCACCCCCACCCCCCACAAAAAAAACCCUUCACGCCUGUAGUAAAUAAGAAAAACCAACAUCAGGAUUGCAAGUGGCACAAUUAACACAUGACGUCAAGCCCUCACUCUACAAGAUGACACAAGGGAGAACAGAGAAAAUUUGCUGAUGACUCUAAAUUGUUCAGGGUUGUUAGAACACAAAUAGGAUUGUGAAGAGCUCCGAAAGGACCUCUCCAAACUAAGCGAAUGGGCAGUAAAAUGGCAAAUGCAAUUUAAUGUAAACAAGUGCUUUGGUCCACCACUCAACAGAACUUUAAGGAGUGAAGAAAUCAUCCCCUGUAUUAGUGAUUCAAUAGCACUCUGCUAGUGAGCGCUGGCAGAUAAGUCAUGGAGCAUUCACUUACCAUCCCUGAAACACCCCUGUUGCUGAGACUUCUGCUCACUGACUGAGCCCCAAGCUGAGCCAAGAUGUGCCAGUGUAUCUUCAGCAGAGCUGGAGUUAGGGACUUGAGCCAGAGCUAGAGACUUGCCACAUCCUAACUUACUCACCCUGGCAGAUUUUGGCUUAGGAUGGCCCAGUGCUAUUUUUCUAGGAAAAAAGGGUGCCAGAACUUAGCACAAACACCUCCCUUGUUCUCUUAUAAUGGCAAUGGCGCCCAGCUGAGAGGUGCCGGAACUGAGUCCUGGUGAAUUCCGGCUGAAAAAAGGCCCUGGGAUUGUCCUCCUUAGUAUAACAAAGUCACACCACUGCUAUGCCGCUCACACUGCUGUAAUGAUAUGUAAGGGAUAAGAGCCACAAUAAAGGUAAAGGUAAAGGGACCCCUGACCAUUAGGUCCAGUUGUGGCCGACUCUGGGGUUGCGGCGCUCAUCUCGCUUUAUUGGCCGAGGGAGCUGGCAUACAGCUUCCAGGUCAUGUGGCCAGCAUGACUAAGCCACUUCUGGCAAACCAGAGCAGCGCACGGAAACGCUGUUUACCUUCCCGCCGGAGCGGUACCUAUUUAUCUACUUGCACUUUUGGCAUGUUUUCGAACUGCUAGGUUGGCAGGAGCAGGGACCGAGCAACGGGAGCUCACCCCGUUGUGGGGAUUCGAACCGCCGACCUUCUGAUCGGCAAGUCCUAGGCUCUGUGGUUUAACCCACAGUGCCACCCGCGUCCCAAGAGCCACAAUAACGCUUUUCAAAUGUAACAGUUUGUUUUCUAAUUCAACCAUGAAAGCAUUCAAGAGUGGGCCUUUGGACAUUCCUGAAUCUUGCUCCUCUUCACUGUUUAAUUUCUGUGCAUGUGUGUGUGUGCACACACACAAAUACACACACACAGUGAAAUCUGAUGACCCUCUACCAUCUUAGUGGGUUGUACAAGUUCAGGCAUAGGUGAUGCGUAUUCAAGUGACAUUCCUAUGUAUGAGCUCUGUUGUGUUCCUUACUGCUUAAGAAACAGACUCUGCAUAGAUUCUAUACAGAACACAUUCCUUGAGCAGUAAUUAUUAUAAAAGCACGAAAUAGAAUUUAAGUACAAAUCAAGAGCUUUCUGUUCUAUCCGUUUUUGUGCAGCCUUCACUAAAUUGUGGCAGCUACUUUUUCUUUUGUUUGUUUUCUGUUGCCAUUUCAGGAGAUGGUAAAUACAUUGUGCCAUACCAUUUUAUGUUUUAUAAAAAGGUGACCCUCACUUUCCAUUUCAAAUGCGGUUUCUUUAAUGAAAAUAUUGUAAUGUCAGUCCAUGCAAAGCAAGUGCAUAUUAAUAUGCGUUUACAUCUGUCUCAUAUUAAUAUUCAUGCCUGAAUCCACAUCUCUACACAAAGCCAAUUUUCUGGCCAUCUGUGUGAUGGCUGGUGGAUGCAAUGAAUAAAUUUUAUUUGUGAGGGGAGUGAUAAAUCAUGUAUCUUCGGCUUUUUUUUCUUCUUCCUUCUUCACCCACAAUCUCUGCUCUUAGGUGCUAAAAUGUUUUCAUCUUGGUUUGGAAUUUUUAAGCAAAACCAAGCGAUUAACCCCUUCACACCUUUCUGUAGUUCUGCCAGAUUUUCAAAAGGACAUAGGAAGAAGCUUAAUGAGAAGCAGGAAUGUGUGACUCUGCAAGAGCUCCUGCCACUUUAGGUACAUUGUCUCCUUGUGUGUGUGUUUUUUUCUGAAUUGCAUCUUCUUAUUUUAGGAAUUCAUUGGACUUGGUAAUUUAGAGCUUCACUCUGGUACCUCAGACACCAAGGAGAAUAUACACUAUUCUGGGAGUGCCAACUUUCAUUGUAAAAUUCUUGAUCAUUUCUAUCGUGUGUUUCUUUUAUGUCUUUCUGUCUUAUCGAUAUUCUUACUGAUAUUCUUAUUCUCAUUCUUAUUAUUCCUGCUUCACUUACAUGUGAGGAACUGUGGUCAAGGGUUCUUUAGAGUAAAGAUUUACUGGGCUUUUACCUCAAAGCCUGUUUUCAGUGACAGGAUUCAACUCUGGAACAUGGAACCAUUUUCAUCACUUUAUGUGGUGAGCAAAAGGAAUUCUCUCUGCCUGGAUUCCAGGGGCACAUUCUCCUUUUAUUGCAUCAGAGAUGAGCCGCAACAGUCAUUAGAACAAAUCUAGGCCCUAGAGUAGGAAGAGUAGCGCAUUCCACUGGAAAUGGGAGCAGAAAUGGUCAAUGUUCACUUAUUUGUCCUAUGUCUGGAACGGAAAUCUAUCCAACUAAUAUAUUGGCAUUUGCUGUUGCUUUCAGUCUGCAAACAAUUGAUUGUGGGUUCCCCCCCCCCCCUUUGCAUUGAAAUGAAUGGGGUGGAAUAAAGUAAUGACAACAUAAUUUACAUAAUUAAUUUUGUGCGUCACAUAAUUUUUGCCACACAGGACAACUAGAUAAAUAAUGUAGUUUUUGGUGGAAGCUGAACUGCAAUGGCAUACAAACAAAUGCAUGUCACAAAUGUAAGGUAGAAUGGAAAACCUUCUGUCAUUCCUGCCCUAGAACCAGCCGGCAUACAAAUCUGGGCUUCCAUAGUGGAGGUUGAGCUCUUGGUCCAUUUCCGAGCUCAGUUCAAAGUGUUUGUGUUUAAAAACUCUGCAUGGCUUGGGACCCAGAUGUCUGUUGAACCAGUUUCUCCCAUAUGGAUGUUCAUUCACUGAGGUCAUCAUCUGAAGCUCUUGUGUGAGUGCCUCUGGUGUAGUGGUUGAUUCAACACAUUAGAGCUGUGAGUGGGAAGUAUGAGUUCAAAGAUGGGUCUGGUGCUUUGGCUGAUGGUGCCAUGAAAGAGCAUGCAAUGGCGGUUGAAGAAAGAGAGCUUUCUUGAUGGUGACAUCUCUCAGAACAAAAAGGGGUCUACAAAAGCCCCAUCUAGGCCAGCAUUCUGUUUUCAAAUUGGAUAACCAGAUGUCUAUGGGCAUAAGCAAAACACGAGCAUAAUAGCCUUUUCACAGGAAGGCCAACUGAUACCUAUUCUGAUCUCAUUUUGGUGCCAGGUGAAUACCUUCUUACUUUUCCCAUUCUUCUUACCUGGAAGGAGUGUCAUUCUAGUUACACAUCUUGAAUUUGAACUACUGUGUUUUGUCAUUAUUUUAAGUUAUGGAUGUUUAGUUUCUGUUGUAUUGUAGUUUCCAUAUUCAUAUUUUAGUACAAGAUGUCCUGAGAACACUACCAGGUUGAAGGUGCAGGGUACAAAUAAAUAAAUAUAAUUUCCAACCUUGACUGAGAUCUUCUUAUGAAAUUUGAUACGUUUAGCUUGCCUAUAAUGUUUGAGUGUGUGGCUGAACUGGAAUUUUAAUCCAAGCUGGCGGAGUUCAAUGAGACUUAUUCCCAGGUAAGCAUAUAUAAGGUUGCCACCUAAGACUUUGUGUUAUUCAGUGUAGAGAAUCAGAAUCAGCAUCCAUAUAAUGCUCCACACAUCUGUGAAUGAGCAAACAAGCAAGUGCCUCCAUCUGCCUUCUACACAUGAACCAUUUUGCCAGUCUGGGUGAGAUAUUUAGUGAUGAUGAGGGGAAAUACUAUGCUGGAUUUCCCCCCUCUGUGACCUAUUAUUCCCUGCUCUCAGUUACCUUCCCAACAAACUAGGAGUAAGAAAAAUAUACAGAAAUUGGCUAAAUAUUAAGUCAUUGGUGUCUUUCAUGGCAUCACCAACCAAGACACCAGACACAUCUUUCAUUUCAUACCAAUUUAUAUGAUUCCAACUCCCAGAGCUAAUGAGUUGAACCAACAGUUGUCCAGCAACUGAAUGAUGUAAACUUUAACCAUCUCACAUCUACUGAAGACAAAGAUCAGUUCUGUAGCAGUACUGAAACAAUAGUUUUAGUGCUCCUGUUUUAAGAAAGUGUUUCUCAUCUGCAGUAUUUAUAACUGUAUCUUAACUAUGACUUUUUUAAAAUUAAAUUCUGUCUUUGGUUAAUCUGCACCUUUUUAGUAGAUCAAGAUGUUUUAAUCAAUAAAUAUAAGCUAUGUGGGGUUGCUGUUUGGAGGAGACAUCUCUGUGUUAUAAUAUAGGGUUCCACUCUCAUUCUUUGCUCUUCAAAAAUAUUUGAAUCUACUUUCUUUACAAAUAAUAAUAUGAAAUUAAGGUUGGUAAAACCUGAAGUUUUCUGGUCCUUUCCCUGAUUCUCUCUGUUUUCCUAAGGCAAAUCUCCAUUCCAACAGGACAGAAUUUAUGAAGACAACCAACGUGCAUAAACAUACCAAAGACAUUAUGAUAAAAUGGUUCAAGGAACCCAUGAAGUGGAAGGUGAGGUGUGUGUGUGUGUGUGUGUGUGUGUGUGUGUGUGUGUGUUUAAAUUUCCUUUUGGCAGGCCAAAGGCAUGUCACUAGCAUGUAGCCUACUUCUGCCUUUGACAGUACAACCAUAUGUUAGUUUUGACAUUUUUUGUUCACUGAAGUUCAAAAAGGAAUUUGAAAUGAGCUUCGUACAUCAUCUGCAUAAUUAGCAAGAAAUCAUUUGUGGCUCCAAUCAAUGCAUGCAAUUUUAAUAAAUUGCUCUAAUAACAACUCUGCAGAAAUUAGACAAAGCCGUCAUUGGGUCAAUCAAUGCUGCUCAAGAAAAUAGCAUUGUAAUGAAACUUCAAAUGACAGUGUAAUUCUACUUCAUUCCUUUUUUUAUAUUAUUUAGGCAAAUAAUGUUUUACUGAAAAUCUUUUGCAAAUGGAGGACAGAGUGGUUUGAGAGAUUGUUAAAGAACAUAAUGCCUUUCAUCAGUAGAUUGCUAUCCGAGCUUUGUAGAAAUUGAAAAAUGUUACAAUGUAAGGGCUAAUGAGUGAAGCAUAAGUUAUUAUCACCCUUUAAGAGGAACUCAGUUGGCAAUGGGUAUCUUUUUUAAAAAAAACAUACUCAGUGCUAGAGCUUUUGGAUCCUGGCCCAGGGGACUGUCAGAAAAUAUGAUGAAGUGGCCUCUGGACCACAAAAGCUUAGGCUACAAUAAAUCAACUUUAAGGUGCCAAAACAACCUCUUUUGUUGUUUUUGCUGCAGCAGACUGACAUGGCUAGCGCUCGAGAUGUUCUCAGUAAUAAUGUGCUUAUUUAUGACAUAUUUAUCUUGCUUUUCCUCCUAGGAGAUCAGGGCAGUAUAUGGGGCUGCUCCCAUUUUUAUCUUCGCUAGACUGAUAUAUAAUGACUGGCCCGAGGUCAUAGCCAAGUGGGAAAUUGAAUGCAGGUUCCCCAUGCCAAGUCUGACACACUAUCCCUUACGAAACACUAGCUGUCCUUUAUGGGUGGUCCAGUGCCCUACUUUGCAGAGGGCAAGCACCUAAUUGAAUGCAUCCUCUAUCUGAAGAGCUGGCCAUGGGCUGUUAAACAUUUCUGGUCCAAUUUCAAGGUGCCUGUGAUUAUGUUUAAAGCUACAAUGGCUUGGGUCCCCAAUACUUCAGUAGGCAAUUCACAUUUUAGUCUCUGGACUGCCUAUUCAAAUCAUUUGGAGGGCUGCUUUCUUCUAUGUUCCAUCUGUGGGAGCUGUAUAUUAUGUGGAGACAUGGAGGAAGGUCUUCUGUGCUAUCUCAUCCUGGCUGUGGAAUGUCCUCUGCUCAGUGGCUCUAUCAGCGGUCUCAUUCUUCUGACAACUUGACCUGGCUUUUCACUUAAUUGUUUGUGGGAUGUAAACUGCAAUUGUAUUUAAUGUGCUUAUGUAACCCGAAUUUUAGCUUUUAAGAGGAGUGUUGAUUUGAUUACUGAUGUGUUGCUUGUAAUUUUAUGGCUUGGAACCCACCCUGAAAUAAGCAUUGCAGUCUGAACACUGAUGAGGGUUUUUAUUUCCUUGCCUAGCAGCUAUGUUACCAAACAAGAACUUUUAACAGAAUAUUGUUUGAUGGAAGGUUCUUUCACACACACACACACACACACACACACACACACACACACAGCUAAGUCAGCCAGCCUUGUGAAUGCAAAGAUUAGAAGAUUUUCAUGUCUCUAGUUCCCUUUUUAAAGAGCCAACAUUUUCCAAGUAGACUUUAAGAAGUUUCUCCAAACAAGAGAUACAGAUCUGACUUUAUCGAUUCCAAGUUUUUAAAUAAAUGUUCUGUCCAAUCAAGUAUAAAUUAUACUCAAGAACACAUUUCUAUGGAUGCUAUGUGCAAAAGCUGAUUUCUUCCUCUGCUCCUCUGUUCCAGAGCAACAUUUGCAACACUAUACACAGAGAGAUUAUCUGCACUCAGUAUUAUUAUUUUUUAGUGCACAAAGCUAGUGUACCUCGCAGUGAGAUUAAUUGUAUGGAAAAUAAAGAGGAGGUUGGUGCCUCAGUUCUGUUGUGUUUUUUUCAGUAGGAGUACAGGAAGAAGAACAGAGGAGUCUAAGCCAUGAAUGUGCAUCCUUCAUCUCACAUAUCUGCACUGAUAUUCUAUACAGUCUCUAGCAAAAUGUUGAAGAAUGUGCUUGAUUCCUUUGAAAAGUUCCCAAAUUCUUGGGAAAGUUAUGUGAAAGAGAAGGGCCCAUGCUACUGCUAUGACUCAGUAUUAAAAGUUCAAAUUUUGAGGGAUCUUUCAGUGCUUGUAAACAAAGAGAAAUACAUUUGUUAUUUAGAAAGUUAUGGGAGGAAUUUAAAAAGACAGACAGAGAGAGAUUGCUCAAGAAAUAACAAAUAAUUUCUUUUAUCUAAUAAAUAAUAAUUUAAAAUACUUUUAUCCAUUUAAAGCAGGCAUGUCCAAAGUUCAUUUCGGGGGCCUAAUCCGAUCCGCUGGUCGAUUUAAUCUGGCCCCCGUGGCAGUACACCCUGGGUAAAAUCCUAAAAAAGCUCAGCAACUGUGGCCGGCCCUCAUGCACGUUCACUUCAUCAAAUCUGGCCCUCUUCGGAAAACGUUUGGGCGCCCCUGAUUUAAAGAUAGCUGUUCAUCCUUGUAGUGACUUGUAGUCAGUUUCUUGAAUCAGUGGUGAGCAACAGACAACAAAAGCAACCUUUUCUUCCUCCUGUUGGUUCCUUCUUUAAUAACUACCUGUUAUCAUGUAGAUUGUGUUCCUUCCUUCCUCCUUCUUCUCCAGCCAGUCUUUCUUUCUUCGCCCUUGUGUUAGGACUCCUUUGUUCUCUUGACCUCAUGACUCCGUAAUGGGCAUAUGUGAGCUUGUGCUCAGAAUGGCUUUGUUAACUUUAGCUUUCUUUUAUUCUUUCAGCCAGCAGUCUUACCAGGCUCUUUAUUUCUGCACACAGCUGCAAUGUUUACCAAACUGUAAGCCUGUUCAGGUGACCACCUAUGGGGCAUGUGGAACAUAUGGAAAGUGGGGUUGGAACUGUGGCAGCCAGUCCCACCCAAUUAUUUGUGUGUUCAGUGUAGGAGGCGGUGGUGCUGUGGUCUAAACCACUGAGCCUCUUGGGCUUGCCAAUUGGAAGGUCAGCAGUUCGAAUCCCCAUGACAGGGUGAGCUCCCGUUGCUCUGUCCUAGUUCCUACCAACCUAGCAGUUCGAAAGCAUGCCAGUGCAAGUAGAUAAAUAGGUACCACUGUGGCGGAAAGGUAAAUGGCAUUUCCAUGUGCUCUGGCUUCCGUCACGGUGUCCCAUUGCACCAGAAUCGGUUUAGUCAUGCUGGCCACAUGACGCAGAAAGCUGUCUGUGGACAAAUGCUGGCUUCCUCAGCCUGAAAGUGAGAUGACUGCCACACCCCAUAGUCGCCUUUGACUGGACUUAACUGUCCAGGGGUCCUUUACCUUUACCUUAAUACCCAUACAACUAGGGACCAACAAAUCAUGGUAGCCAGACAAACUUCAUUCUUACCAUGACCUUGACAGAAUGGCAUGUCCCACCAUCACCCAUAUUUAAAGGAUAAGGCCAUGGACCAAGGAAGAACAUCAGAAGGUGAGAGAGAAUCACCCUCAGAACCGUCCCAGACAUUCACAUCCCCCAGCUCUAGAAAUUCCAGCACGAGAGGUGCCCUUUGGCAUGCACCUCUCUGGCCUGAGGAUAUUAUGUUGCUGUCUUCUGAUUCCAAGGCCUCAAGCCCAGAAGUCCCAGUAGAACAUACUCUCCCCUGUGCUGUCAGGAUGAACGACUGUUAAAUCAGGCUAGGUCCCUUUAACUGAAGACGCUUUGUGUAAUGCGAGUGGAGCUGGCUACCAGGAAAGCAUUGCAGCUCUAUUUAAGGCUCAGCCUGAGUUUGCUUGAGGAUGAAGCAUCAUCAGUUGAGCUUGUGUUUCAGCUAUUCAUGGAGCUAUCCAGGGUGCUACUCCCACCUAUGUUCUGCAAGAAAUGAGGCACAGAUCUGGAGGUCAGUCGCAAGAGAAGUCCACACUUCAAUUGCACAGCAAGGCAAUUUUGCUAUAGUACACUUUUUGUCAUGAGCCGAAUAACUAAGAAUGGGGCUCAAUAUAUUUCAUAAUUAUGAAGUUAUUGUUUAUAGAAUUGUCUCAUUGGUUAUGCAUUGGAAUUAUUAGUAUUAGUAUUAGUAUUUGUUACUAUGUAAUUUCAGUGGUUUUGUUUAAAAUGCAUUUUUCUGUGUAUUCUUCUAAUUAAUACUCUGAGACUGAAGUCUAAUAUCUCAGUUAAAGAGUUGUAGUGUUUAUUCUGUACUCUCCAAUAGGAAUAUGCCUUAUUCUAAGUAAGAUCGUCAGCCCAGGGUUUUGUCUGCGCUGACUGGCAGUGAUAUUCCAAGGUUUCAUACAAGGGCACUGGCAGAGGAAGAGGAGUGGGGGGGGAGCGCACCCCCCUGACAGCGCGAUCCCAGUGGGGUGUCAUUGCAGCUGCCCUGCCCGCGCUGGAUGCCACGUCCCUGCAGGCAACGCGCCCCACCCCCGGGACAUGCAUCAGCCCCGCCCCCACCUGCUCUCCACCCCACCCCCAGUGCCGGAGCAUGAAGCUCCGCCACUGUACAAGGGUCUCCUGUGCGGGGAUGCUGGGGAUCGAACCACAAACUCAUUGCAUGAAAAGAAAAUCCACUAGCAAUAAGCUAUGGCUCUUCCCCAAUAAUAAAGGGUGACAUUCCCUCUCAAGUCUUGUGCCAUGUUGUGACACUAGUUCUCAGCCUGCAAAGAGAAAGAUACUCUUAGGAAACUGAUGAGCAUUUCUCAACCUGUUGGUCCCAGAUGUUGUUGAACUACAACUCCCAUCACCCCUAGCUAGCAAGGCCAGAGCUCAGGGAUGAUGGGAGUUGUAGUCCAACAACAUCUGGAGACCCACAGGUUGAGAACCGCUGAUAGACGAAGCAGGAUGAGGGGGAACUAAAAUGUCAAAGUCAGUCUCAGCAUCAGAACCUGGCAUCCUAACACCUUCACCAGGCCCUCCACACUGGGCAGCUGGGUAUGCCAGCCUUUCAAUUUCCCACAAUGCUCUGGAGUGACACUACUGCAUAGAUAGAUAGAUAGAUAGAUAGAUAGAUAGAUAGAUAGAUGAUAGAUAGAGCCUGAGAAAUUUUGUGUGCUGUGAGGAGUUAAAAUGGUGGCUCCCAGCCAGUCUUGGAGUACUGUUCCAACUGGGACCCAUUAAUUUAAGUGGUGGCUUAUUAGAAGGCACUUUGCCCAAGACCUUCCAAUCCUAAACUGGCCCUGACCACUGUGGUGCUCUUUGAACUGAUUGUCAGCAUAACCCCUCAGCCAUCUGUCUCCUUGGAUCCAUUCACUGAAGGAUCAGUGGUAGUUUGCCAUUCUUCCCCGCUCCCACUUGCAGGUGGCAUAGAAAUCUAUGGAUUAAAAUCUCUGCACUGUAACUUUGUAUGCAUUUCGCUGGAUGUUGCUGUGAAUAAUUCUGCUUCUUUCCAAGUACAGUGAUCCUGUGUGGGGUGUAAAUUAAGGACAAAUUUCCUUCUUGAUUCAUCGUUGCAUAUGUUCUAUUCUUUUCCACCGAUGCCUCUGCUCUGUUUAUGCCCUCAAAAAGAUGUUUUAUUCAUGGAUCUGUACAUAAUUGCCCCUGCCUGUGCUCCAGGAGCUAUUCAAACACCUUCUGAAUAUACAUCUAAUUUUAGAAUGUUUAGGAUUGCUCAGAUGUUAACCGUGCCAGGUAUGGAGGAUUUUUGAUGGCACGACAAUAAAACAAUUAAACAGAAGUCCAUGAGUUCAGUGUCUGAAGCAUAAUAAUCACUUUCCAAUUGCAAAACACACAGAUGUAUCUCAGCAUUAGCAGACUGUUGAUUGCUGUAACUGGCUCUAUUAGGGAUGGGGUUUUUCCCCCCAAAGCCAUCUUGUGCGCUUGUUUUUCCCCACCCCUUUUUUAAAAACUUGCAUAGCUGUAAAAUAGAAUUGUUUUUUGGGGAGGGGGGAAGAAAUUACCGGACCUCCAUUUUCAAAUAUUUCCAAAGGGACUGUGCCGUCUCGUGCUGGAAACUUUGUCAUGCUGUCAAUUAUACCAUCAAAAUGUAAGAUUUAUUUUUGUCUCUUCAGUGCAGCUGGAAGGGAAUAAGAUUCUGCUAAGGCAGGCAUGCAAAUGUAUAGCCGUGGUAUACAAUAAAGCGCCUAAUUAGUUCAGAGAUGGCAUUUCUAUCCAUUCCGAUGUGCCAGCAGGUUUAAGGGGUGGGGUAGGCAUUUGCUUGUUUUGAAUACAUAGAGCACGUCUCUCUCCCCCCACCACCAUCGGCCCUGAUUAGAUUCCACUCACAUUUCACAGAGAAAACUACAUCUGCUCCAUCAGUGCUAUAAAAUAGGUAUUUCCUCGGGGGUAUGUAAAGCAUAUAUAAAUCUCAGCUUCUGCUUCAGAUUUGCAUAGAUACUGGCACGCAGGUCAGCAGCGCAUUUAGUUUUCUUUGUAACUGUGGCGAGUUUUCAGUGGUCUAAUGAGAUUGUGGGCAUUUCUGCUUACAUGUGUAAAGUGUGAGUGCAGCCGUGAAUAGGACCCCGCAGUAUUCUCCAAAUCUCGUGGUUUAGGUCCUCGGUAUUUGCUGGUGUAGAAGAAAGGGAGAGGAAAAAUGCCCCGCUAGUUUUCGGAUGACCUUACAACCCAAGAGGCACAUAUAAAGAUUAAAAACCACAUCUAAAACAAACCCUGUGGUGCAAGGUUUCUGUUUCGUUUUUGUUUAUUCAACCAUGUGUUUUGUUGCAGUUAAAUGAUGCUUUGGAGAGGAAAAAAAGGACCUUUUCUGACUGUAAGUGAGACUUUUGCCGCAGCUUCUCAAGGAAUUCCCCCUGUAGCAAUCCUCUCGGUAAGCCAUUAGCUGUGCACAUCUGCCCACUCUAAUGACCGCGCCAGUGUACACAUACCUGACUGCCAUCUAAUUUAGAUAUCACCCACAGGACACAAAUGCUGGUGUCUCAUGGGCCAGUUAAAUCCGGGAUUAUUGACCAG
This is a non-coding RNA of Podarcis lilfordi (Lilford's wall lizard), 26939 nucleotides long. NCBI's taxonomy places the organism in Eukaryota, Metazoa, Chordata, Lepidosauria, Squamata, Lacertidae. The record is from the annotation of a GenBank genome assembly.